GCGCACCAGUCGCGAAACCUCCGCAAUGCGGGAAACCGCGACGGGGGACCCCGAGUGCCGUGGCAACGCCACGGCUUUUCCGGAGUGUAAAAAGCUCCGGGAAUAAGGGCUGGGCAAGGCCGGUGGCAGCCGCCGCGGUAAUACCGGCGGCCCGAGUGGUGGCCGCUAUUAUUGGGCCUAAAGCGUCCGUAGCCGGGCCCGUAAGUCCCUGGCGAAAUCCCACGGCUCAACCGUGGGGCUUGCUGGGGAUACUGCGGGUCUUGGGACCGGGAGAGGCGGGGGGUACCCCUGGGGUAGGGGUGAAAUCCUAUAAUCCCAGGGGGACCGCCAGUGGCGAAGGCGCCCCGCUGGAACGGGUCCGACGGUGAGGGACGAAGGCCAGGGGAGCAAACCGGAUUAGAUACCUGGGUAGU
RNAcentral lists this ribosomal RNA (413 nucleotides) under uncultured microorganism. RNAcentral's name for it is "bacterial SSU rRNA". It matches the Rfam family "Archaeal small subunit ribosomal RNA", at positions 330 to 745 of the family's 1478-position model. The record is from RNAcentral.